CUCCAACCGCGCCGCCGGCGGCGCCACAGGCGACUCAGCUGCCGCCAGCACAACCUCCACGGGUGGCUCGUCCCGUGCCGCGGCCAUCACCACGGGCGACUGCCGCCAUCGCCCCCCACCGCGUCUGCCCGACUCCCCAGCGUCGAUAAGCACCCAGGCCAAUAUACUGCAGUUGUACCUCGCCUGCAUCCGGAACACUCUGAGGCUCCUCCUGCUGCUACUGUUCCCAGUUCAUCACGAGCCAACAAGCCUAGUGCAGAUGCAAACCUGGUGCCACUACCGCCACCACUUUAUUGAGAAGAAAGAAAGUUUCCUCAUCAUCAGCUAAGCGGAAGGAAUCCGGAAUGAAACAACGAAAAGAACAACCAACAAAACAGUUAAAGUCACCAGCAGAGCCAAUGUCGUCACUCAUUCCAGCAAGAUCAACAGGGAUAAGGAUGAUGCUAUCAUCCCCGAGGGUAUCCCCAAGGUGGAUGUCUCCAUCUACAACAUUGGCAAACUCCCCACUACAGCCCCCAACAUCUGCUUUGGAGAAAAAAAGAAACAAUCUUGGUCAUGGAUCUCCACAUCUGAUUAAAAGGCGCAAACUUACAUCUGAGAUAUGGGAAGAUUUUGAGGCAAUAUAUGAUGGUGGAAAUGUGGCUCAAGCUCAGUGCUUACACUGCCAUAAGUUAUUCAAGGUGUGGUUGGGGGUGGAGGUCCGGCAGCACGGCGUUGCCAGAAGCGUCGCCAUCAACCCAGCCCGAAGAAGACCCUGUGAAGGGUGAUUUCACUAUGCUUAGUGGCUCAAUACCAUGGCAUGGC
Long non-coding RNA from Sorghum bicolor (sorghum), 804 nucleotides. RefSeq lists it as uncharacterized. The transcript is spliced from 5 exons. NCBI's taxonomy places the organism in Eukaryota, Viridiplantae, Streptophyta, Magnoliopsida, Poales, Poaceae. The record is from RefSeq and is a predicted model, not a curated record.